CACGAGGAGCCUUGAUUUUCUGUCCUUGCCUGAAGUUCCAGUUGCCUUCACUGUCCACUUUGCUACUUUCUCAAAGAUGCAGAAACAACCUCCCCAUCUUUUGGAAAUGAGUCUGUCUUAGAGUUCCAACAUUAUCCAGGAGAUAUCCUAUAUGAAGUAAUUGUCGAAAUGGAAUGCCCGGUAGAGACCCCUUACAAUACCUCUGAAGUGGAGAAAGUCUUGGCAGACUCACUUAAGCAAGAGAUUGGGGAAAAUCUAGACCACUUUUCACCUGAAGCAGAUGAAUUCAAACUAACUAGAAUUAAAAGAAAAGAUACCUUAAAUGUCAUGUUCAUUUUCUGGCUGCAUCUGAGAUCUAGAGGGCGAAAUAUGUCAGCCACUCUGAUGUCCCAAUUAGGAGCAUCUGAGAGCAGUGCACUGCAUCUUCAAUUAAGAACUCUCAUCAGAGACACAGUAGAAGCUCUCCAACUUCAUCUGAAAUUUAUCUCCAUUCACGAUGUGAAUGAAUGUGAAAUGGGCCUAGAACAAUGUGGUGAAGGGGCUGAAUGCUUCAAUGGAGCUGGUACUUACAUAUGUCGUUGCAAAGAAGACUAUGAAGAUCGUUCCCCCCGUGCAGAUUGGUACUCUGUGUGUCCAUGUCCCACGCUCAGGAGUUGGAUUUUCUUUCAAUUAUCUGGAUCUUCUCAUCACUGUUACUGUCUUUACCACCGUCCUCCUCGUGCUGAUAAUAGGUUUUGUGUGGCUGGCAACCAGAACAACCUAAGAAAAGAGGGAUUUUUGCCUUCAGGAGACAAUGUCCCUGGAGGGUUUGUCUACAUUACCACUGAUCCAAACCAAACCUCACCUCGAGGAAGUUCAACAAAUGCUCCCUCUAUAAUCCCUAUCAGCCUAAGUCCCCAGCCAGAAUCAUAGAUGGCUCCCUGUAACAAAUAUCUUACAAAGACUACCAUGUGUGUAUGGAACAGUCUGAAUAUCUCAAAUAAUGAUUUAAGGAAUAUUUAUCUGUUGUCGCUCUGAUCUCCUGUUGAGUCAGAUGCAGGAGAAGGUGAUUUUUCUGUCAAUUUUUCUCUGGGACAACAAAAAGACACUGCACAUUUUAGGGUGGAUGGGGGUGGGUGUAUCCUUCCAGUAACUUAAAAGGAGAGAAUUUCUGAUUGUAAUCCAUUUGUCUUUCUUGUUCCUUCCUACCUGAAUUAUACUUCUUGGCUCUAGAUUCUAGCCUCUAUAGGUGGAGGAAUUUACAUUUGUAUCUUAGCAUCAAGACUUUUACACUAAUUCCUGUAAUGAGCAGAAGCACAAAGCUAAUGACCUGGACAUUUUUGUGCCAUCUGACUGAAGUCUGCAGGAAGCACCCAGGGAUCCAGGAAAUGGAGGGGACACAUACCUAUUUCCAAAGCUGAUGAAUGAGUCCUGUGACUUUUAAGGAUACCCAAGUUAAAGUGCUGUUAAUUUAGCACAGUUUGGAAACUCCCAUUUGACCAUAGUGUAUUUUUAUAUGAAGAAUUAAAUCCUAACCCACCCUCCCCCCGGCCCUGGGUCUGGGGAACUAGAAGACUUGGUAUUCAAAAAUAAUUCUCUCCUUGUACCUACCAUCUUUUUUGUGAAGUUACAAAUAUGUGUAUUAUAUUUGUAGAAAUUGUUUUAAAUUCCCUCUCAAGAGCACAUAGCUAAGCACUGUACUGUUAAUUGUUUUUGUUUGUUUUUUAUCAAUACUAUGGCUACCCGUUCAGAGAAGUUGCUUUGUCUGAUAUGGUGGUUUACUUGUAAGCUGAUC
RNAcentral lists this long non-coding RNA (1774 nucleotides) under Phascolarctos cinereus (koala). RNAcentral describes it as "lncRNA (ENSPCIG00000024920.2)". Lineage: Eukaryota; Metazoa; Chordata; Mammalia; Diprotodontia; Phascolarctidae. The record is from RNAcentral.